CCUUCGGUGUCGUAGCCAACGCGUUAAGUGUUCCGCCUGGGGAGUACGCACGCAAGUGUGAAACUCAAAGGAAUUGACGGGGGCCCGCACAAGCGGUGGAGUAUGUGGUUUAAUUCGAUGCAACGCGAAGAACCUUACCAGGGUUUGACAUCCUGCGAAUCUCUUGGAAACAGGAGAGUGCCUUCGGGAACGCAGUGACAGGUGGUGCAUGGCUGUCGUCAGCUCGUGUCGUGAGAUGUUGGGUUAAGUCCCGCAACGAGCGCAACCCACGUCUUUAGUUGCCAGCAUUUAGUUGGGCACUCUAGAGAGACUGCCGGUGAUAAACCGGAGGAAGGUGUGGAUGACGUCAAGUCAUCAUGCCCCUUACAUCCUGGGCUACACACGUACUACAAUGCUACGGACAAAGGGCAGCAAGUUCGCGAGGACAAGCAAAUCCCAUAAACCGUGGCUCAGUUCAGAUCGUAGGCUGCAACUCGCCUACGUGAAGGCGGAAUCGCUAGUAAUCGCAGGUCAGCAUACUGCGGUGAAUACGUUCCCGGGCCUU
This 544-nucleotide ribosomal RNA is filed under the name uncultured cyanobacterium. RNAcentral's name for it is "bacterial SSU rRNA". It matches the Rfam family "Bacterial small subunit ribosomal RNA", at positions 837 to 1382 of the family's 1533-position model. Lineage: Bacteria; Bacillati; Cyanobacteriota. The record is from RNAcentral.